UAAUACGUAGGGAGCAAGCGUUGUCCGGAAUCAUUGGGCGUAAAGCGCGCGUAGGCGGCCUCAUAAGUCCGUUGUGAAAGUCAAAGGCUCAACCUUUGAAAGCCGAUGGAUACUGUGAGGCUAGAGUCCGGAAGAGGCGAGUGGAAUUCCUGGUGUAGCGGUGGAAUGCGCAGAUAUCAGGAGGAACACCAAUAGCGAAGGCAGCUCGCUGGGACGGUACUGACGC
Molecule: ribosomal RNA, 226 nt
Filed under: uncultured bacterium
Lineage: Bacteria
Description: partial 16S ribosomal RNA
Rfam family: Bacterial small subunit ribosomal RNA
Source: RNAcentral